Long non-coding RNA from Stegodyphus dumicola, 354 nucleotides. NCBI's taxonomy places the organism in Eukaryota, Metazoa, Arthropoda, Arachnida, Araneae, Eresidae. The record is from RefSeq and is a predicted model, not a curated record.
CAGAACUGGCAUCCUAAGCAGUGUUUGUCGCCUAUCGCUCAAGUACCGAACGCUAUUUCAGGAAGUUUCCUGAAAAUUUAAUUACUUCGCGCUUCGAUACCCAUAAAUAUUUCCCUUUCCAUCAAUGGCAUUAUAUCUAAUGGAUUCUUCAAAAAAAUAUCUGACAGUAGAUACCAUCAAUCAAAAUCUGAAACAUGUAGACUUUCCUUGGAAAUGUCCUGUUGUGUCUCGGGUAAAAGAAAUCGAAGAGGAAAUUAAGAAGGGGAAAAAAUUUCCUUUUAAAGAAGUCUUCCACCUACUCUCUGGGGAUCUUCAAGGAAUGGGACAGAAACCCAUAACAUUUUUUCAACAGGU